This 522-nucleotide ribosomal RNA is filed under the name uncultured bacterium. RNAcentral describes it as "bacterial SSU rRNA". It matches the Rfam family "Bacterial small subunit ribosomal RNA", at positions 554 to 1071 of the family's 1533-position model. The record is from RNAcentral.
CUGGGCGUAAAGGACGCGUAGGCGGAUUAUCAAGUCUCUUGUGAAAUCUAACGGCUUAACCGUUAAACUGCUUGGGAAACUGAUAGUCUAGAGUAAGGGAGAGGCAGAUGGAAUUCUUGGUGUAGGGGUAAAAUCCGUAGAGAUCAAGAAGAAUACCCAUUGCGAAAGCGAUCUGCUGGAACUUAACUGACGCUAAUGCGUGAAAGCGUGGGGAGCAAACAGGAUUAGAUACCCUGGUAGUCCACGCCCUAAACGAUGUAUACUAGUUGUUGCUUCGCUAGUCGAGGCAGUAAUGCACCUAACGGAUUAAGUAUACCGCCUGGGGAGUACGGUCGCAAGAUUAAAACUCAAAGGAAUAGACGGGGACCCGCACAAGCGGUGGAGCAUGUGGUUUAAUUCGAAGAUACGCGAAGAACCUUACCCGGACUUGAUAUCUAACAAAUCAUCCAGAGAUGGAAGAGUGUCUGCUUGCAGAAAUGUUAAGACAGGUGCUGCACGGCUGUCGUCAGCUCGUGUCGUGAG